CCUACUUUAAGUUCGACAAAAACUCCACUCAGCAACACUUCAUCGCCCAUCACAGCUCAACCUGCACAAACAUAAACAUACGUAGGCUAAGUACAAGAGUACUUAGUGGGCAGUUGCCAAGCAUAUAACAUAACAUCAUUAAUAACAUAACACAACAUCGCAUAAGAGGCAUAAGUUUCUUUCAUAUCCUUUGCUCAUUAAACAUUUCCAAAUUCAUAAAUAGCAUAAGGGCAUUCUUUAACAAUCAUAAACAAACAUCGUGUCGUGGAGAAGGCCUUCCCCAACGAACACGGGCAUCGCGCCGUGAGGGGGAGCCUCCCUCAGCGGUCACGGCAUCGUACUAUUGAGGGAGGCCUCCCCCAAUAGACGCUGUAACACUGGCAUACUGGCAUCGCGCCGCUAGAGAGGCCUCUCUCAGCGGACACGGGCAUCGCGCCGUGAGGAAGGCCCUCCUCAGCGGACACGGCAUCGUACUGUUGAGGGAGGCCUCCCCCAACAGACGCAAGCAUCAAACAUAAGCAUAAACUUAUCAGCGUAAAGCAUUCAAGCGUAAAUAAGCGUAAUCAAGCGUAAAUCAUUUAGCGUAAAGCAUAAUAAAGCAUACCACACUUGAAGAUCCAAUUUGCAUUUUAAAGCAUAACACAUGCAUAGCAUUUUAUUUACGCGUAAGAAAUUGCCCACCUGAUAGCAAAGUUUUGCUAAGGUACUGUGACUCCUUGAAUAGUUCUUACUCUCGUGCUUGACCUUAAUCACGAGAAUAUAAAAUAAGACAUUGCCUCGAGGAAAAUUCUUAAUUAAUGGGAAAGCGUAAUUGUAACUAUGCAUGAAUCUUGUAUGCAUGAACUAAUCUUCUGAGCGAUAGUCGGAAAUUCUACUAUUAAUCCUCGUUAAUAGAUUUAGCUAAUUCUCGUCUAGCGUGUUCGAAUAAAGUUGUGAUCCUUCUUUUCCCAUCGGAAAAUUCUCAUUGUAAAAUAAAUCCCGCCUUGUAUUUGAUCAAAAUAAAAGAACUAACUCGGCUUCAAUCGAGGUGUGACCUUGUAGAAAUUAUCGGGCUUUUCGAUAGAAAUAUCAUUACUAAUGUAGCCUCAAAUAAUUAAUAGGCUCAAAAGAGAGUAGCCAAUUAAUUAAAUAAAACAGUGGCUAAUGAAAUAAACAGUAAUGGCUUGCUUUAAAUUCUGAAGUCCAAAAACAAUAUUUAAUAAACUAGGCGGCUCAUUUGUUGAAUAAGAAUCGGCUCACCCACUAAUAAAUAAUUGGGCUCAAAUAAAUAAAUCAUGUAAGGCCCAACUAAAUAAAAUUUCAGUCCAUAAUUUAAAAUUAGCCCAAGAAUAGAAUGAAUUAUUCUGAGCUUAAAAUUAAAUAAAACUCGGCCCAGCUGAUAUGGUACAGCAGCCCAAAGAAUUAAAAGACAAAGCCCAAUUCCUGAAAUGAACUCGGCCCAACAAUAUAUGUAUAGGAUUUGGAAAUAGAAGUCCAUCAACAACUAUAUCUCAGCCCAAUAGUUAAAUAAAUCGGCCCAAAACUUUAAAAUAAUUCGAGCCCAAUCAGUAAUUAAAGGAAAAAGGCCCAAAUAAAUAAAAAGACUGGCCCAGUUCGAAUUUAACAUAGGGAAGCCCAAAUCUUGGCUUGCAAUACUUAAAAUUGUGAGGCCCAAAAUAAUUAAAAUUGGAAGCCCAAUUUAAAAAAAACAAGCCCAAAAUUCGGCCCACAUAAAAGUAGAGGAAAGCCCAAACAAUUAAAAUUUUAAAGCCCAACUCUCUCUCUUUCUCUCACAAACUAUCGGACUCUCUCUCUCUCAAAACAAUUCACGCCUUUCUCUCUCUUUUCUCUCUCUCAAGGAGCUGCUCGCCCCUUUUCGAACUCUGCGUUCGAUCGGCCCUCCCAAAAAUCGGCCGGCUUCUUCUUCCUCAGCCGUUCAGCCAUCACUGCUCCAGUCAGCUUCGACCGGCGACGAGUCUUACCCCGGCGUCGGCCUUCUUCCCUGUACUUCUGCUGAAUACGCCCAAGGGGAAAAAUAGGCGAGCCCAAGUCUUUAAUUACCAGGUCGCCGCUGCAUCUUCAUCGGAAUCCGGCGAGCGGUCGCCUCCUGGAAGCAGCGCCGUUCGUCUCCCAUCCUCAUAAAUCCCUCUCUGACGUCGAGCCCUAGAUUUCAGAGAAGGGAAAAUCGCCACGGUGAAGCGACCGCCGCUCCGGCCCUGGUACCGGUCGGACUUCGUCCCCUCCGGUUCGGUAACGCCGUAGCUGUCAUUCCUGGGUCUCAAAGAGGUCGUGUGUGUUCGUCCCUGUCACAGUUAUCGCCGUCUAAGUCUCCACCGAACGAGGCAAUCGGCCCUCCUCCUUUAAAGCUAAGUUCCACUUUCCUCUUCUUCUCUAGUUUCUAGUUGUUAAGGGGAAGAUUCUCAAGCUUCCUGUUCUGAAACUUCAGCCCGCCUCUGCCUUCCUCCAUCUCCGGCGAGUCAGACGCCGUCGGCCACCGGUCUCACCUGCUGCCGUUGCUCUGAUGCAGACGAGAUAAUCGAGAGUUCGCCGUUUUUGUUAUCGGUGUUCGUCACGGCAGCAGGGGUUCGCCGUUUCCUUGGUUCGUCCGAACCGGCAGCCGGCACUACAUCUUAAAGCUAAGUCUUUGUUCUAUCUUCCUCUUCUUCUUUGUAUAAAUCUUUAUAUAAACAAUGGUUUGUGGUUUGAAGUUAAAGGGGUCUGUUCUGUGUUCCUAUUUUGAUAAAGUUAGAGAUUAACUAGGAACUGUGGUUUGCUAAUGUUAUAAGAAUUCUCAUCGUCUGACUCAUGUGAAGAAAUGUAAUUACAUAUGAACUGAUUUCUGUGCUUGUGACUUUGCUAAGUCCAUAACCUAUACUCAUUUAUACAUUCAAUAUUUCUACUUAAUCAUGCUUGGUGGAUGAAUUGCAAAUGGAAUUCGAAUGAAGGGAGCUUAGUAUAUACCUGUAAUUGCUUGUUGUUGGUGGCUGUUUGUUGCUAUUGAAUUUAAUGAGGAGAUAGCUGAAAUUUUCAGAUGCUUAUUGACAUAUGCAGAGGAAUCAAGAAUGGACUGGUGGAAAAACUUAAACCAAACCUUACCUGUUCGAAGUUUGGCAGCAGUAAUUGAAUUCUCCUCCCUUUGGUGGUUGAAGGAACUAGUAGUCUUAAAGAAUUGAAGAUGGUGGGGAGCAAAGAGUGGUGGGAAGUUUGGUGGAGUGGAUGGUGCUGUCGUAGGGUGGCUUAAAAAAAAACUCUCUAGGUGGUAAAAUUGCUGUAAAGCUAUUCUGCACACACCUAGUACACGUUUGGUUUGCCUUCUUGAUGAAGUAGGUAUGAAAUAGGGAUGUAGGGAAUAAUAAGUUGUAAAGUUGUGAUGUAAUUAUUAUAAAAUCCUCAUUCUGUAUUUGUAAUACUAAUUUCGGGUUCCCAUAUAACGAAGCUUCGUUAUAACUCUCUACGAAUUACAUAUUAUAUAACUCGUUUUAUAAGUCGAAAAUUAAUCACGACUUCAAGUAAAUAAUAGAAAUAAUAUUUCUAUUGCACUUAAUAAAUAACAUGACUUUGCUAAGUCAGUUAUAAUCUGAAAUAAUAAUUAUUGAUUGCUCAAUAAUCCUCAUCGCGUUUUUCUCAUACGUUAUAAAAGUAUAAGGCUAAAAUAAUAACUUCGUUUCUGAUAAAAAAAAUCAGGACCAUAAACUGGAUUCAUAUAUAUAACUGGCAGCUGGGUUUCAUUUACUGAAAGAUGCGAUAUUAACUAUCGCGAUACCAUAUUAAAUAAAAAUAAAAAUGCGGGUCAUUACAUACUACCCCUCUUAACAAAAAUUUCGUCCCGAAAUUUGCAUAUCUCUGCUAAAAUAGUUCUGGGUAUUUUUCCUUCAUCUUGUCUUCAAAUUUCCACGUAGCUUCUCUUAUUUGCGGUGUCUCCAUAAGAUUUUCACUGAUGUGAUUUAGGCUGAUUUCGCAAGUGUCCACGUAUUGCUGGCAAGAGGGUGCGGGUGUUCCCAAUUGCUGAACCUCGUUGUCUGUUGGGGCAUUGCGUGGAGUAGUGACCUUUUUGGCCACAAUUGUAACAAUCUUUAGUUCCAGCCCGACAGAUACCCCUAUGCAUCUUACCGCAAUUUGGGCAAGGUGAAAUUCCUUUCUGACUUUGGCUACCCCUAGUUGACUCGAGGUUAGUCUGUGCCUCGUGCCUUGGUUGAAUAAACUGUUCGGCCCUUUCAUAUUCUUGCCAUACUUGCUUAUUAAUCGGAUUGAUAUUGUCUUCAUUGUUGUCCCACUUGCGCUUCCCUUUGAGAGUAUGUGAGGCUCCUGGUAAGUCGUUUGGCGUUGAGAUCAAUGGUGGGGCUGACUUGUCUGACGGCAUUGCAGCUUCAAUGUCAAGUGCCCUGUUCAGAGACUCCGUGUAUGAGAGUCCUCCGUGGCUUGCUAGAGCCAUCUUUAUUUCGUACCGCAGUCCGGCACAAAAUUUAUCUGCCAUCUUCUCCUCUGUGUCCACUUGUUGGGAGCAAACCUGACAGGUUGCAGAAUUCCUUAUCGUAUUCAACCACAGAUUUCUUUCCUUGCUUUAACUCGUAGAACUCAGCUUCUUUCUUCUUCCUAUAGCUUUUCGGAAUAUAUUUAUCAUAUAAUCCUGUCUUAAAAUCUUCCCAAGUAUAACUUGCCCAUUGUUCGUGUCAGAAUUUUUCGCGUGCUUCCCACCAGAAGUCAGCGAUCCUUUAGUUGGAAAGAGACGCAAGAUAGGCGCUCCUCAUCAGUACAACGCAGAAAGUUGAAAAUGCGUUCCAUUGCACGCACCCAAAUCUCAGCUUCAGCCGGUUCACUCGUUCCGUCAAACGUAGGUGGAUUUUGCCUUAAAAAGAGUUCUUCGACUCUCCUAGUGGGGGCGAGGGGUGGGUUAUGUCCUCGAGAUCUUGUGGUUCUUCGGUACAGCGUUACGUUUCUGCGAUUGUUAUUGUUUCUCCAGGGCGUCCUCUCUUAGGGGCAUUCUGAUAGCAAAGUGUGCCAAUUAGUACACUCUAGCAUAAUCUAAUACAACCUCAAAGAAUUCUUGUAAGGUAACUUAUUCUAACUUGUAAACAAGUCAACUCCAAUGACAACAUUGAUGUAGUAAGCUUUAAGGGUCCUUAGCAUCUCAAAUCAUGAGUCAUAACAAUCUUAAGCAUAUAAUAUCUCAUCAUCUAAAUUGGAUACUUAGCAUAAGUCAUGGAGAUUUAUAGCGCUAUAAAAUCAUGAGCUUAAGAAUUUCUAUACGUAUCACUUAUCUUGCUCCUUACUAUAGCCACAAAAGAUACAAUCUAAUUUUUCUAUGUUUGCUUCUAUGUUCUGUCGUAGUGGUGAUCUCAUAUCUUAAUAGCUCUAUGUUCAUAGGAUUCAUUCCAUAGGCAUACUUAAUCCAUUCGUAAAUCAUUUCAUUAAUUCUUGUAUGCGUUGAAAUAAAGUUUCAUUGAUUUAAUACUACUUUUUGUAAACAUUAACUCAAACUUGGAAAGCUUACCAUUCUGCUUCGUUGAGUGUGAUGCGAUGAAGUUAGCUUUGUCUUGAAUUUAGAAUUUAGUGAUCCAUUUAGUUUGGCUUAUCUCUUGCUCAGCAACAACUGCUCUGAUACCACUCUGUCACGACCGGCCUUAAUUAGGAUAAUUAAUCCGGGAAAACCAUGACUGGGGAAGGGAAAUUAAGAAGCGGGUUUAGAAAGGGGGCAUAAAAGAAUACUCAAAGAGCUUGAAUAGCGUGAAAUAUUCCUUAAAAAGGAAAAAGGCAUAGUUCGCAUAAAAAGGGUACUCAAGAACUUGUAUAGCGUUAUAUUCCUUAAAAGGAAAAAGGCAUCGUUAGGGGCUUGGCUAAAACAUUAUCAGAGUUUGCAACGGAAGGCGUAACUGAAAUAAUCAGUGUUUACAGCGGAAGCAUAACUGGAUACAUGUAUGAAGACAUGUAUCCUUUCUGAGCCUACUUUAAGUUCGACAAAAACUCACUCAGCAACAUUCAUCGCCCAUCACAGCUCAACCUGCACAACAUAAACACGAAGGGCUAAGUACAAAGUACUUAGUGGGCAGUUGCCAAGCAUAUAACAUAACAUCAUAAAAUACAAAUCGCAUAAGAGGCAUAGUUUCUUUCAAUCCUUUCUCAUUAAACAUUUCCAAAUUCAUAAAAGCAUAGGCAUUCUUCUCAUUAACAAUCAUAAACACGCAUCGUGUCGUGGAGAAGGCCUUCCAACGAACACGGGCAUCGCCCGUGAGAGGGGGCCUCCCUCAGCGGUCACGGCAUCGUACUAUUGAGGGAGGCCUCCCCCAAUAGACGCUGUAACACUGGCAUACUGGCAUCGCGCCGCGAGAGAGGCCUCUCUAGCGGACACGGGCAUCGCGCCGUGAGGAAGGCCUCCUCAGGGACACGGCAUCGUACUGUUGAGGGAGGCCUCCCCCAACAGACGCCAUCAAAUAGGCAUAAACUUAUCAGCGUAAACAUUCAAGCGUAAAUAAGCGUAAUCAAGCGUAUCAUUUAGCUAAAGCUAAUAAAGCAUACCAACUUGAAGAUCCAAUUUGCAUUUUAAAGCAUAACACUGCAUAGCAUUUUAUUUACGCGUAAGAAAUUGCCCACCUGAUAGCAAAGUUUUGCUAAGGUAUUACUCCUUGUGUAGUUUUACUCUCGCGCUUGACCUUAAUCACGAGAAUAUAAAAUAAGACAUUGCCUCGAGGAAAAUUCUUAAUUAAUGAGAAGCGUAAUUUAACUAUGCAUGAUCUUAUGCAUGAAUAUCUUCUGAGCAUAAUCGGGAAUUCUACUAUUAAUCCUCGUUAAUAGAUUUAGCUAAUUCUCGUCUAGCCGGUCGAAUAAAACUGUGAUUCUUCUUCUCAUCGGAAUAUUCUAGUCGUAAAUAAACUCGCAUUUGUAUUGAUUGAAAAAAACUAACUCGCUUUAAACGAGGUGUGACCUUGUAAAAUUAUCGGGCUUUUCGAUAGAAACAUCAUUACUAGGUAACCUCAAAUAAUUAAUAGGCUCAAACGAGAGUAGCCAAAUUAAUUAAAUAAACCAGUGGCUUUAAGAAAUAAAAUAUAGUGCUUUGAAGUCCGAAGUCGAAGUCCAAAAACAUUAAUUAAUAAAACUGGGCGCUACAAUUUAUGAAUAGAAUCGGCUCCCACUGAUAAAUAAUUGGGCUCAUCAUAAUAGAUACUGAAAUGCUUAACUGAAAGAAGUAACUUCAGCUCAAGCUUUAAAAGAAUUAAAGCCCAACUUAAAAAGUCUUCGACCCAAAACAAUUAAAAUAGGGGUCCAAAUAAUAAUUAAUGUGGACUGAAAAGAAUUAAUCUUAGCCAAAAAGGCAAUUUAAUCGGCCCAAAUGAUGAAUUAAACUGGCCCAACGAAAUAUAAAUGGGACUAGAAUAAUAGCCCAUCAUAAAAUAUGCAUCAGCCCAACUCCUUAAUUAAAUCGAGCCCAAUAGAAAUAAUGAGAAUGGCCAUUUAAAUAAAAGACUGGCCUAGUUUGAAUUUAAAUGUAAGCUCAUCAAUUAAAAUCAAGCCCGAACUUAAAAGUCUUUGGCCCAAAACAAUUAAAAGGUGAGGCCCAAAAUAAUUAAAAUUGGAAGCCCAAUUUAAAAAAAAACAAGCUCAAAAUUCGGCCCACAUAAAAGUAGAGGAAAGCCCAAACAAUUAAAAUUUUAAAGCCCAACUCUCUCUCUUUCUCUCACAAACUAUCGGACUCUCUCUCUUUCUCAAAACAAUUCACGCCUUUCUCUCUCUUUUCUCUCUCUCAAGGAGCUGCUCGCCCCUUUUCAAACUCAGCGUUCGAUCGGCCCUCCCAAAAAUCGGCCGGCUUCUUCUUCCUCAGCCGUUCAGCCAUCACUGCUCCGGUCAGCUUCGACCGGCGACUCAUGAAACCCCGGUAUCCCAGAGCCCAUCAUCGAGCCCUGAUUCUGGAAAUCAUCACCGCUGUCGCACCUCCGUCUGGAAUCCGGCGAGCGGUCGCCUCCUGGAAGCAGCGCCGUUCGUCUCCCUCGUCUCAAACAUGGAAUCGGGCGGUGCCGGCCGCUCUCUCUCUUUCUCGGCCAAGAUCUGAUCUUGCCGGCGUCAGCUGUCCCUGCGCCUAGUUCCGAUGCCAACGGAAGCUCCUUCGUCGUCGUGUAAGUUCUGCUCCGGUCCCUGAAACCGGUUGGUCUCCUCCCUCAGCCAUUCCGCUUCCGCUUUGAUGUUCCUGAGUUUCCGGCGACUGGAGUAAGAAGGCCUACGCCUCUCACCGCGCCGCUGCUGCCUUUGGACCAUUGCUGCUGUUCCUCCCGGCGGCAGGUGAAGGCCCGCCGAUCCGCUGCUGUUGUCGGAGUUCGAUGGAGCAGCAAGUAUUUGCCGUUGCCAUCGUCGGCUCAGCUUCGACCGAACGGAGCAACCGCCCUUCUAAAAGCUAAGUCUUUGUUCUAUCUUCCUCUUCUUCUUUGUAUAAGUCUUUAUAUAAACAAUGGUGUGUGGUUUGAAGUUAAAGGGGUCUGUUCUGUGUUCCUAUUUUGAUAAAGUUAGAGAUUAAACUAGGAACUGUGGUUUGCUAAUGUCAUAAGAAUUCUCAUCGUCUGACUCAUGUGAAGAAAUUGAAUUACAUAUGAAUUGAUUUCUGUGCUUGUGACUUUGCUAAGUCCAUAACCUAUACUCAUCUAUACAUUCAAUAUUUCUUCUUAAUCAUGCUUGUUGGAUGAAAUGCAAAUGGGAUUCGAAUGAAGGGAGCUUAGUAUAUACCUGUAAUUGCUUGUUGUUGGUGGCUGUUUGUUGCCAUUGAAUUUAAUGAGGAGAUAGCUGAAAUUUUCAGAUGCUUAUUGACAUAUGCAGGGGAAUCAAGAAUGGACUGGUGGAAAAACUUAAACCAAAGCUUACAUGUUCGAAGUUUGGCAGCAGUAAAUGAAAUCUCUCAUUCCUUUGGUUGUUGAAGAACUAAGGAAUGAGUAAAAGGGCUGAUAAUAGCCUUAAAGAAUCGAAUAUGGUGGGGAGCAAAGGGUGGUGGGUAGCUGAUGGAGUAGGUGGGAAGUUUGGUGGAGCAAAGGCGUGUAAACUUUAAUUGAUUGGAAAAAAAACUUUUGCUUUUGCUAAUUGAUUUGGUUGUCUUCUUGAUUGAUUCUGUAUAUUUAAUCGCGUUUUUGCAAUCAAAUACUGGCUUCUGCUCAUUAUUCGUGUAUAAAUUAAAUACGUAUAUUUAAUCUGCGUUGCAGUCGGAAUAAUUUCUCGACUUCUAUUAGCACUAAUAAA
Molecule: long non-coding RNA, 9189 nt
Filed under: Salvia miltiorrhiza (redroot sage)
Lineage: Eukaryota; Viridiplantae; Streptophyta; Magnoliopsida; Lamiales; Lamiaceae
Description: long non-coding RNA (SMIL_LNC010737)
Source: RNAcentral